This 465-nucleotide ribosomal RNA is filed under the name Vreelandella stevensii. RNAcentral describes it as "partial 16S ribosomal RNA". It matches the Rfam family "Bacterial small subunit ribosomal RNA", at positions 338 to 795 of the family's 1533-position model. The record is from RNAcentral. Lineage: Bacteria; Pseudomonadati; Pseudomonadota; Gammaproteobacteria; Oceanospirillales; Halomonadaceae.
CCUACGGGGGGCUGCAGUGGGGAAUAUUGGACAAUGGGGGCAACCCUGAUCCAGCCAUGCCGCGUGUGUGAAGAAGGCCCUCGGGUUGUAAAGCACUUUCAGUGAGGAAGAACGCCUGGUGGUUAAUACCCAUCAGGAAAGACAUCACUCACAGAAGAAGCUCCGGCUAACUCCGUGCCAGCAGCCGCGGUAAUACGGAGGGUGCGAGCGUUAAUCGGAAUUACUGGGCGUAAAGCGCGCGUAGGUGGCUUGAUAAGCCGGUUGUGAAAGCCCCGGGCUCAACCUGGGAACGGCAUCCGGAACUGUCAAGCUAGAGUGCAGGAGAGGAAGGUAGAAUUCCCGGUGUAGCGGUGAAAUGCGUAGAGAUCGGGAGGAAUACCAGUGGCGAAGGCGGCCUUCUGGACUGACACUGACACUGAGGUGCGAAAGCGUGGGUAGCAAACAGGAUUAGAUACCCGAGUAGUC